RNAcentral lists this long non-coding RNA (1404 nucleotides) under Lactuca sativa (garden lettuce). Its description in RNAcentral is "long non-coding RNA (LSAT_LNC003109)". The record is from RNAcentral. Lineage: Eukaryota; Viridiplantae; Streptophyta; Magnoliopsida; Asterales; Asteraceae.
AUUUCAUUCUGGAAGUGCUUGCUUGUUGGUGACUCUGAGAAAAUUCUCCUUGAACAUGAUUUACAUGGGUUUACAAAGGACGAUAAUACCCCUUGUGUGACAGUGAAGGAAGUGACUGAGAGGCUGCUGAAUGUGAUCCAUGAACCUAGAAACAACACCCGUUNUUUAAAUUUGAUAAUUAUUAUAAAAAGAUAUUUGUGUUUUGUUUUUGUUUCCAUUUUUGAACAUAAUCAUUCUAAAACUCACAUCCAAACACCACUGAAUCAAACGAGUUGAUAUUCCUUCCACAUUGAUAACACUCAUCACAGGCGGAUAUCGCGUUAGAGAUGGAAAUGGAGCUUACUUCCGGCAACCGUAUCGCCGACGCCGAUUCAGGCAAACAAAAUGAAUAUAAAAGAAGAAACUAUUCAAUUUUUGAACUCCCGUCGAAUUUCUUUGAUUCCUGCGGUUUCAUUGAAUUGCUUUCAACCCCUGAACUCGCUAACAACCCCGCUACUACUCCGGGAAAAACCGUAGAAGAAACAGAGGUGGCGCCGGAGAAGAAUGCUAGUUCUAGUGAGAGAUUGACGUGUAAUACUUGUACAUCCAGUUUUGAGUCGCUUCAUGAUCAACGGUCUCACUUCAAGUCCGAUUUUCAUCUUUUCAAUGUAAAUUCUCUUGACCUAACUUAAUUAAGUGUGCAGUUCGUAUAUAUCAUAUUAUUGAAAUUUCAUAUGCUUCAUGAAGUAUGAUUAAUUAAUUAUUGUAGGUUUGUGAUUUUCAACAAUUUAUAAAGACUGUCCACUGCAUAUUUGAACUGUAUAAGAAUUUAAGCCAAAUGUUGUGUUACUGGUUAAAAUUCUAUAAGUUUUCCUUUAAGAUUUACUCGAAUACAACAAAAAAAAUUCAGUAUAAUGUUUCUCCUAGAGUCUCUGAUAUUUUACUUUGUUUCUAUAUGCAUAAUGUUUUUUUUUUAUCUCAGAUAAAGUUAAGCAUUGCUGGAAAGGAAACUGUUAGGGAGGAUGAUUUUGAUGAAUUGAGUUCCAAUUCCAUAGUUAAAGAUUAUGAUAUAUCAAGCAUAUCAGGUUCAGAAAAUGAAGAAAACAGAGAAUUUGACAGCCUCAGGGAUUCAACUAAGGGAUUGUUGGGAAGUAUGAAGCAGAAGAUUUUUAUGCAUCUAUCCAAUGGAGAAACAAUUUCAUUCUGGAAGUGCUUGCUUGUUGGUGACUCUGAGAAAAUUCUCCUUGAACAUGAUUUACAUGGGUUUACAAAGGACGAUAAUACCCCUUGUGUGACAGUGAAGGAAGUGACUGAGAGGCUGCUGAAUGUGAUCCAUGAACCUAGAAACAACACCCGUUUCAGAGUUAUGUUGCUUGCUACUGGUGGGCAUUUUGUUGGUUGUGUCUUUGAUGGAAACUCCAUUGU